RNAcentral lists this ribosomal RNA (497 nucleotides) under uncultured bacterium. RNAcentral's name for it is "partial 16S ribosomal RNA". It matches the Rfam family "Bacterial small subunit ribosomal RNA", at positions 28 to 507 of the family's 1533-position model. The record is from RNAcentral.
GAUGAACGCUGGCGGCGUGCCUAAUACAUGCAAGUCGAGCGAACGGACGAGAAGCUUGCUUCUCUGAUGUUAGUGGCGGACGGGUGAGUAACACGUGGAUAACCUACCUAUAAGACUGGGAUAACUUCGGGAAACCGGAGCUAAUACCGGAUAAUAUUUUGAACCGCAUGGUUCAAAAGUGAAAGACGGUCUUGCUGUCACUUAUAGAUGGAUCCGCGCUGCAUUAGCUAGUUGGUAAGGUAACGGCUUACCAAGGCAACGAUGCAUAGCCGACCUGAGAGGGUGAUCGGCCACACUGGAACUGAGACACGGUCCAGACUCCUACGGGAGGCAGCAGUAGGGAAUCUUCCGCAAUGGGCGAAAGCCUGACGGAGCAACGCCGCGUGAGUGAUGAAGGUCUUCGGAUCGUAAAACUCUGUUAUUAGGGAGGAACAUAUGUGUAAGUAACUGUGCACAUCUUGACGGUACCUAAUCAGAAAGCCACGGCUAACUACGUG